Non-coding RNA from Schistosoma margrebowiei, 46 nucleotides. The record is from Rfam. NCBI's taxonomy places the organism in Eukaryota, Metazoa, Platyhelminthes, Trematoda, Strigeidida, Schistosomatidae.
GCACUACUGAGGAGUCCCACAAUAGGUCGAAACAGCCGUCCAGUGC